This 379-nucleotide ribosomal RNA is filed under the name Escherichia coli. RNAcentral describes it as "bacterial SSU rRNA". It matches the Rfam family "Bacterial small subunit ribosomal RNA", at positions 167 to 541 of the family's 1533-position model. Lineage: Bacteria; Pseudomonadati; Pseudomonadota; Gammaproteobacteria; Enterobacterales; Enterobacteriaceae. The record is from RNAcentral.
UACCGCAUAACGUCGCAAGACCAAAGAGGGGGACCUUCGGGCCUCUUGCCAUCGGAUGUGCCCAGAUGGGAUUAGCUAGUAGGUGGGGUAACGGCUCACCUAGGCGACGAUCCCUAGCUGGUCUGAGAGGAUGACCAGCCACACUGGAACUGAGACACGGUCCAGACUCCUACGGGAGGCAGCAGUGGGGAAUAUUGCACAAUGGGCGCAAGCCUGAUGCAGCCAUGCCGCGUGUAUGAAGAAGGCCUUCGGGUUGUAAAGUACUUUCAGCGGGGAGGAAGGGAGUAAAGUUAAUACCUUUGCUCAUUGACGUUACCCGCAGAAGAAGCACCGGCUAACUCCGUGCCAGCAGCCGCGGUAAUACGGAGGGUGCAAGCGU